CCUACGGGUGGCAGCAGUGGGGAAUAUUGCACAAUGGGGGAAACCCUGAUGCAGCGACGCCGCGUGAAGGAAGACGUAUUUCGGUAUGUAAACUUCUAUUAGCAGGGAAGUAAAUGACGGUACCUGACUAAGAAGCCCCGUCUAACUCCGUGACAGCAGCCGCGGGAAUACGGAGGCGGCAAGCGUUAUCCGGAUUUACUGGGUGUAAAGGGAGCGUAGGCGGUUUAGCAAGUCAGAAGUGAAAGCCCGGGGCUCAACUCCGGGACUGCUUGUGAAACUGGUGAACUAGAGUGCAGGAGAGGUAAGUGGAAUGUAUGGUGUAGCGGUGAAAUGCGUAGAGAUUAGGAGGAACACCAGUGGCGAAGGCGGCUUACUGGACUAUAAAUGACGCUGAGGCUCGAAAGCGUGGGGAGCAAACAGGAUUAGAUACCCCAGUAGUC
This 440-nucleotide ribosomal RNA is filed under the name uncultured bacterium. RNAcentral describes it as "partial 16S ribosomal RNA". It matches the Rfam family "Bacterial small subunit ribosomal RNA", at positions 338 to 795 of the family's 1533-position model. The record is from RNAcentral.